Molecule: long non-coding RNA, 781 nt
Filed under: Helianthus annuus (common sunflower)
Lineage: Eukaryota; Viridiplantae; Streptophyta; Magnoliopsida; Asterales; Asteraceae
Description: sRNA HanXRQr2_Chr03g0134321
Source: RNAcentral
GGCGACGGCUGCGUUCCAGACGGUGGAUUCCGGCGGCUGCGUUCCAAACGGUGGUAAGUUUAUCAUCAAUCUCUACUUGUUGAAAUCCUAAGUCUCCGCCGCACUCCAUCCGCCUUAAUCUCCGACGCCACUCCGAAAACGGCUGGAGAGGCUGCAAGAACUGCUGGAGUGGGAGCUUAUUCAAAUAGAUUAGGAGAACCUCCUAGCCAGGUUGAAGUUGGAGAUGUGGUCAGAGGUGACUGAGACAUUAGGGUCUUCAUAUGGGACAACGGGGGUGGCGUGCUUAUGGCUAUAAUGGCGGUGACCGGAGGUUUGAUUCCAGUGUAAAGGAGUAGGCGACGGCGACGAUAUAUCCUCAAGUCGGCGGCUGCGUUCCAGACGGUGGAUUACGACAGCUGCGUUCUAGACGGUGGAAGAUACUAAUGUAGGAGACAAUUAUGGGCCACUUUUGGUUCUUAUAGGGAAUUGUAACGUGUAUGAUAAUAAGCUUGGAAGAUAUUUCGUUGAUCUUCAAGGACAUAUGGUACAGGUGAAACACAUACAAAUAUAACUAUGGAAGAAAAGCUGAAAACAUAGAGUCCCGUUUCGAACAAUUUCAACAAGAGCGCGAAAAAGAGCGGGCCGAUCAAGCUGCAUGGCAAAAAACUAUGGAAGAAAAGCUGAAAAACAUCGGAAAUAAGUAAAAACUCUGGUCUUGUUAAGUAUUGAAAUGUUAGAGUUCGGAUUAGUUUUGAAUGCUUGUAAUUUGGAUUUUUUGUGCGUUUUGGAAUGUUUUAGAAUU